RNAcentral lists this small RNA (118 nucleotides) under Mycobacterium tuberculosis H37Rv. Its description in RNAcentral is "npcR 4012". Lineage: Bacteria; Bacillati; Actinomycetota; Actinomycetes; Mycobacteriales; Mycobacteriaceae. The record is from RNAcentral.
CCAGCGCCCACACGGGCGCGUCCGGUCCCACCCUUGAAGCGCGACGAUUUCGGCCUUGAAAUUGAUCGCGACAAGGCUGUGUGCGGGCGACACGCCCGAGCGCGGGGCCGGUGGACCU